This is a long non-coding RNA of Triticum aestivum (bread wheat), 713 nucleotides long. RefSeq lists it as uncharacterized. The record is from RefSeq and is a predicted model, not a curated record. The transcript has 4 exons. NCBI's taxonomy places the organism in Eukaryota, Viridiplantae, Streptophyta, Magnoliopsida, Poales, Poaceae.
GGAGGACGUGGAGCGGCCGCUGCGGAGGGAGCGGCUCAUGGAGGCGGUCUAGCCGGAGAUGGCAUACGGGGAGUCCGGCGAGCCCGCGCCCUCCUUGAUCCCUUACUAGGUCACGCCUCGUCCCGAUUCCCUUCGUCGCAUUGCCAUUUUGUUCUUCGGGGAUUUCGUUUAGGCUUUGCGGUGUCAGUGACCACUGAUUAGCAUUGGGGACAAUGGAAGAUGGCGUUCAUGAAAUUUUUGGUGAGGAUGCAUGCUGCAUUCGUUGGUGACGUGCAAGUUGCGAGAGUGUACGAACACGGAUCAGUUGCUGCUCUAAACCCAACAAUUCGGAGGAGGAAUGCAUGAGAAGCGAGUCCCCCAGCGAUGCCAAGGUCACACUGUUGUUUUGUUGUGGUUGAUAAACCUGAGACUUCUUUCUAUUCUUCAAGGCGGUUUGGUUUAGGCCAGCCAUGGAGCAGAAAGAACGGACAUUGCUACUUAAGCAAGAGGGAAGACCCGACGAGGCCAUUAUGCUUACCUUGCUCGAGCGCAUCAACCCCGACCAUGGCACCACAUUCACAGUCUUGAGGUAGCCGUGCUGCAACUACAUCAACGCUAUCUUCUCUGACUAGAUAAGGCUUCGGUCUAUCCCAUUAUUUUCUUUUCUUCUUUGGUCGAUGGGCCAUGAUGCCAUUGUGUUGAUUCCCUAUGUGAUGCAGAAGCUAUGGUGUUUU